RNAcentral lists this transfer RNA (74 nucleotides) under Guillardia theta. Its description in RNAcentral is "tRNA-Gly". It matches the Rfam family "tRNA". From Rfam's summary of the family: Transfer RNA (tRNA) molecules are approximately 80 nucleotides in length. The record is from RNAcentral. Lineage: Eukaryota; Cryptophyceae; Pyrenomonadales; Geminigeraceae.
AGCGGGUGUAGCUCAGUGGUAGAGCGCAACGUUGCCAACGUUGAUGUCGCGCGUUCGAAUCGCGUCACCCGCUU